This 499-nucleotide ribosomal RNA is filed under the name uncultured bacterium. RNAcentral describes it as "bacterial SSU rRNA". It matches the Rfam family "Bacterial small subunit ribosomal RNA", at positions 34 to 524 of the family's 1533-position model. The record is from RNAcentral.
CGCUGGCGGCAGGCCUAACACAUGCAAGUCGGGCGGUAACAGGAAUAGCUUGCUAUUUGCUGACGAGCGGCGGACGGGUGAGUAAUGCAUAGGAAUCUGCCUGGUAGUGGGGGAUAGCCCAGAGAAAUUUGGAUUAAUACCGCAUACGCCCUACGGGGGAAAGCAGGGGAUCUUCGGACCUUGCGCUAUCAGAUGAGCCUAUGUCGGAUUAGCUUGUUGGUGAGGUAACGGCUCACCAAGGCGACGAUCCGUAGCUGGUCUGAGAGGAUGAUCAGCCACACUGGGACUGAGACACGGCCCAGACUCCUACGGGAGGCAGCAGUGGGGAAUAUUGGACAAUGGGCGCAAGCCUGAUCCAGCCAUGCCGCGUGUGUGAAGAAGGCCUUCGGGUUGUAAAGCACUUUCAGCGAGGAGGAAAGGGGUGUUGCUAAUAUCAACGCCCUGUGACGUUACUCGCAGAAGAAGCACCGGCUAACUCCGUGCCAGCAGCCGCGGUAAU